Small nucleolar RNA from Microtus ochrogaster (prairie vole), 131 nucleotides. Lineage: Eukaryota; Metazoa; Chordata; Mammalia; Rodentia; Cricetidae. The record is from Ensembl.
GCUGAGACUAUAGUCACAUCCCGACAUGGUGGUUGUCCUGGUGUGCUAGGGUUCUCAAAGAGAAUCUGCUGGUCUUGAUCUACUGGUAGCAAACUUCAGUGUCCUUGUUAGUGCCCACGUCAGAAACAUGU